GUAUAGAGCUCAUGGGUUACUCCCAGAAGAAAUUGCAGAGUUCAAAAGAAGGAAAGCUGAAAAACUUCUUGGCAAAAGAGCCUAGAUCUGAGCCACAACUGGCCAUAUGUUCUGAGCAGGAAAUUGAAAUCUGUCCUGAGGGACACAAAGAGGACACUAAGAAAGCAAAGAGCUGUGAAGCAUGAAGGAGAAAUAAGUUUUGGAGAGGAUGAAAUCUGAGAAGAACAUGGCCAAGAACUAGUAAGAUCAGGAGGGACCCCUUGAAGCCAAUCCAACAGAACUCACACUCUCCAUUAAUUUCCCAGCUGGCCCAAAGCAGUAUAAUUAAUGAAGCCUCUUAGAUCUUGCAGAGGGUGAACCUGAGCAGGCAGAUGAAUCCUGACCAUCAUCUCUUGUGAAACUGGGCACCAUCUCAGAGCUGUAUAUGUGUGUUUUUGGGAAUGGUGCACUGAGGAUGAAAGUGUGGGUGAUAAUGAUGGUAGUUCCCACUCUUCAUGAGCAACUGUCACAAGGAUGAACUCAAAGAAUAUUUUAGCUAGGUCUCCAUGGCAGCACUAACAAGUCCAGCUGCCCUUUGGCCUGGAUUUAAACAAUAAUGCCAAGUGCUAGAAUGGUUCAACUGUUUUACAUUAAGUAGUUGUUUUCCUGUUGUUAUUGUGGGAAGUCCUGGUUUUAUGAAAAUAAGUGCAAUUGAGAAAAAAUGUUUUGGACAACAACAAAGAAUAUUUUUACUCCCCCACAGAAAUUUUGAAUCAAAAUGUUCUCUUCCUGUAUUGUCAACUUAAGCUGAAAUGUUUUCUUUCAAAUUGACAUUUCAGCUGCAAAUGCCAAUUUAAUGCUAUUUUCAAAAUGAAAUAACAGUUUUGAAUUGAAACAGUUUGGUAUGAAUCAAUAUUUGUUUCAAAUGCCAAAAUGAGAUUCUGCUCAAAAUGUCAAAAUAUGUCAUAUUUGCAAAUCCAGAUCUAAAUUGCAAGAACUCAUUUUUUCUGCUUUAUACACACAUAUAUACAGGGCAUCUAAAACAUGCUUCUCAUCCCAAAGCCAGAUAAAAAUGGAAUGCCAAGAUAUUGCAAAACUGGAAUGCAGUUCCAUUAGUUGAGUAGUACUAAUAAAAUAUAUACUUUUCCCCUGCA
RNAcentral lists this long non-coding RNA (1133 nucleotides) under Chloebia gouldiae (Gouldian finch). Its description in RNAcentral is "Erythrura gouldiae (Gouldian finch) lncRNA (ENSEGOG00005006259.1)". Lineage: Eukaryota; Metazoa; Chordata; Aves; Passeriformes; Passeridae. The record is from RNAcentral.